AGUCAACCUACCCUAAGGACGGGAAUAAUCUCGGGAAACUGAGGAUAAUUCCAGAUAGAACACUAUGCCUGGAACGGUUUGUGUUCCAAAUGAUUUAUCGCCGUAGGAUGGGACUGCGUCCUAUCAGUUUGUUGGUGAGGUAAUGGCCCACCAAGACUAUUACAGGUACGGGCUCUGAGAGGAGUAGCCCGGAGAUGGGUACUGAGACACGGACCCAGGCCCUAUGGGGCGCAGCAGGCGAGAAAACUUUGCAAUGUGCGAAAGCACGACAAGGUUAAUCCGAGUGGUUCCUGCUAAAGGAACCUUUUGACGGUCCUAAAAACACCGUUGAAUAAGGGGUGGGCAAGUUCUGGUGUCAGCCGCCGCGGUAAAACCAGCACCUCAAGUGGUCAGGAUGAUUAUUGGGCCUAAAGCAUCCGUAGCCGGCUCUGUGAGUUUUCGGUUAAAUCUGUGCGCUCAACGUACAGGCUGCCGGGAAUACUGCAGAGCUAGGGAGUGGGAGAGGUAGACGGUACUUGGUAGGAAGGGGUAAAAUCCUUUGAUCUAUUGAUGACCACCUGUGGCGAAGGCGGUCUACCAGAACACGUCCGACGGUGAGGGAUGAAAGCUGGGGGAGCAAACCGGAUUAGAUACCCGGGUAGUCCCAGCUGUAAACCAUGCAAACUCAAUGAUGCAUUGGCUUGAAGCCAAUGCAGUGUU
This 699-nucleotide ribosomal RNA is filed under the name uncultured marine archaeon. RNAcentral describes it as "bacterial SSU rRNA". It matches the Rfam family "Archaeal small subunit ribosomal RNA", at positions 102 to 802 of the family's 1478-position model. The record is from RNAcentral.